Molecule: ribosomal RNA, 499 nt
Filed under: Phoma sp. SC16L4-1
Lineage: Eukaryota; Fungi; Ascomycota; Dothideomycetes; Pleosporales; Didymellaceae
Description: eukaryotic LSU rRNA
Rfam family: 5.8S ribosomal RNA (bases 127-280)
Source: RNAcentral
CUUUGCCUGCUAUCUCUUACCCAUGUCUUUUGAGUACCUUACGUUUCCUCGGCGGGUCCGCCCGCCGAUUGGACAAUUUAAACCAUUUGCAGUUGCAAUCAGCGUCUGAAAAAACUUAAUAGUUACAACUUUCAACAACGGAUCUCUUGGUUCUGGCAUCGAUGAAGAACGCAGCGAAAUGCGAUAAGUAGUGUGAAUUGCAGAAUUCAGUGAAUCAUCGAAUCUUUGAACGCACAUUGCGCCCCUUGGUAUUCCAUGGGGCAUGCCUGUUCGAGCGUCAUUUGUACCUUCAAGCUCUGCUUGGUGUUGGGUGUUUGUCUCGCCUCUGCGUGUAGACUCGCCUCAAAACAAUUGGCAGCCGGCGUAUUGAUUUCGGAGCGCAGUACAUCUCGCGCUUUGCACUCAUAACGACGACGUCCAAAAGUACAUUUUUACACUCUUGACCUCGGAUCAGGUAGGGAUACCCGCUGAACUUAAGCAUAUCAAUAAGCGGAGGAAG